This 469-nucleotide ribosomal RNA is filed under the name uncultured Terriglobales bacterium. RNAcentral's name for it is "bacterial SSU rRNA". It matches the Rfam family "Bacterial small subunit ribosomal RNA", at positions 10 to 334 of the family's 1533-position model. The record is from RNAcentral. Lineage: Bacteria; Pseudomonadati; Acidobacteriota; Terriglobia; Terriglobales.
AGUUUGAUCCUGGCUCAGAACGAACGCUGGCGGCGUGGAUUAGACAUGCAAGUUGCACGAGUUUCGUUUGGUAGCAAUACUGAGCGAAGCUAGUGGCGAACGGGUGCGUAACACAUGAGUCAUCUGCCCGAAAGUGGGGAAUAGCUCGGCGAAAGCCGGAUUAAUACCGCAUGUGGUCAGGCCUUUGGACGGACCAUCGCCGGGACCACCUGUAGCUUUUGACAGAACCCCGGUAAACCCAUAGCUUUAGUAUACAUGCGAAAAGAAAAGGGAAAAAGGGAGGGGGAGGAGAAGAAGGAAAAAGAAAGAAAAUGGACCCCCCCCCCGGGAGGAGGGGUGACUUCUCAACAUCUAAACGAGGAAAUCAUAGUAGGACCAGGAAUCAGGCCGCGUGGUGAAGGUCCCAUGUAAUAAACAGAAGGAUGAUGGUGAAGGAGAACACUGGAUGCACUUGUAUGCUAUUGUCGUC